UACAGAGGUCUCAAGCGUUGUUCGGAUUCAUUGGGCGUAAAGGGUGCGUAGGUGGCGCCGUAAGUCAGGUGUGAAAUUUCGGAGCUUAACUCCGAAACUGCAUUUGAUACUGCGGUGCUUGAGGACUGGAGAGGAGACUGGAAUUCACGGUGUAGCAGUGAAAUGCGUAGAUAUCCGGAGGAACACCAGUGGCGAAGGCGACUUCCUGGCCUGUUCUUGACGCUGAGGCGCGAAAGCUGGGGGAGCAAACGGG
This 253-nucleotide ribosomal RNA is filed under the name uncultured bacterium. RNAcentral describes it as "partial 16S ribosomal RNA". It matches the Rfam family "Bacterial small subunit ribosomal RNA", at positions 524 to 776 of the family's 1533-position model. The record is from RNAcentral.